AUCCUUCUGUAGUUCAUAAGCGUGAUGAUCGAGGGUUCGCGCCAUUGUGUGACAUGUGCCACCCUUAAACCUUGUUACCACGUUGGCACAUUACCUGUCUGACG
Molecule: small nucleolar RNA, 104 nt
Filed under: Suricata suricatta (meerkat)
Lineage: Eukaryota; Metazoa; Chordata; Mammalia; Carnivora; Herpestidae
Description: Small nucleolar RNA U13 (ENSSSUG00005018860.1)
Rfam family: Small nucleolar RNA U13
Source: Rfam by way of RNAcentral